Salvelinus sp. IW2-2015 is the source of this 1019-nucleotide long non-coding RNA. RefSeq lists it as uncharacterized. NCBI's taxonomy places the organism in Eukaryota, Metazoa, Chordata, Actinopteri, Salmoniformes, Salmonidae. The record is from RefSeq and is a predicted model, not a curated record.
GAGGGAACGCGACCCUGGAUGAACAUAACGUCGGCAGUGAGGAAAAUCAUCCUCAACCCAAGAUUGUUGGAUCUCGAGAAGGGGACGAAGUGUGUUCAGACAGUUGAACUCGAGAGUGUACAUGCCCUGUACACUAAAUACGUGGCCAAGAGGAACACGUUUGGCCAGCUGAGGAUGAUCGCAAACCCCAAGUGGCUGCCUUGGACCACAAUUAUUCAGUGGACAGACAGCAGGCUACAACAGAAGAGGGAGUGCAGCGUUUCAGGCAAGAGUUCUCAAGGCUGCCAGGGCGUUUGUGGUGAAACCCAUCAAGGAGGAGAAGACAUGGUGUUUCCCUUCUGAGCUCCUACACGGCAUCAUUGACCGCGGUGCCAAUGGACCAUCCCAGCGGACUCUCCUGAGUGCCCAAAGAGAGAGAGUGGCGGUCACUUUGGGGGAGCGGGCUGGUGUUUCCCGAAAUUGGAGAAGGAGCAGGCCRUUCAACAGCAAAUUCAAAGAUACACACAUCCAUAAAGGGAAUCGGAGUGGAAUUGUUUUUCCACCRUUUUUUUUAACCCGUUUCAAUGGACGUGCAACCUUGUCCCAGACCUGCUGUUUCGACUCUCUCCUUUUCUCCCGGACCUGCUGUCUCGAUCUAUGAAUGCGCAGCUAUGAAAAGCCAACUGACAUUUGCUCCUGAGGUGUUGAACUGUGACACCCUCUAUAACCACUGUGGUUAUUAUUUUGAUGUAAAAAGGGCUUUGUAAAAUACAUUUGAUUGAUUGUUUGCAUGGCUGCAUAUUCACUAACUGUCUGAGUGAUGUGACAUUUUUAGAGUAUCUGUAACAUAUUUUGGUGUGUAUUUAAUCUGUAACUUAACUUCUUAAAAUGGCAAUCAGCAGUAGAAACAAUAACAAAGUGUCCUUCCUGCUCSUUUUCCGGUAAAAAGCUGAGGGAUGGAGCUGGAGAAAUGUAACUAGGGCUGGGCGAUAUAUUUCAGUUUGUUUUAGCGCGAUAUGGAAAAAGCCUGUAUCGCAAGA